Molecule: ribosomal RNA, 864 nt
Filed under: Triticum aestivum (bread wheat)
Lineage: Eukaryota; Viridiplantae; Streptophyta; Magnoliopsida; Poales; Poaceae
Description: partial small subunit ribosomal RNA
Source: RNAcentral
AUGUCGACACUUCCUGAACCCGAUCUGACGAUCACUGUGAGCCGGUCCUUGCAUCCGUUUCAGCAUUCAGAGGAAGAUGCCAGACAGCUCUUUGCAAAUCAUCCUUAUGCAGAAAAUUUCUUGUCCCCCAGCCAUUUGGAUGAAGAUUCAGAUCUUGCAGACCUGGAAGCAUUGGGUCCACAUCCUCUGCUUAACAGGCAGACCAAUGCUUGGCAACCAUUGAGAUGGAUCAAUAUUAGAAUCCAAGCUGCGGGAACUAAUCAUUGGAUUAUGCCUUUUCUGAGAGAUGAUAACUUAUAUGUUCGAGGUUUUGGUAACCGGCAUAAUGCUCAUGAGCUAAGUCAAAAUCUGUGUUUGCCAGGGAAAGACAAAGUGGAGGUUCUGUCCAGGCAACUUCCCCUGAAACUCAACUGCAUUCUCGUCAAUUGGGACGUCACGUACCCCAAGAUGUUCGGAUGCAAGGGUGAGCAUGCACUCGAAGCUGAAUUUCAAAGGAUCAUGAGUGAUGAAGAUUUUGUCUUUGAGGCAGUCUGUUUCUUGUCAAGUUAUGUUCACGUCGAGGGCAGUGAGGCUGAACAGAAAGCCAUGAAGUACUUAGCGGGCAUCACUUUCACACUGUGUGAGUUUUACAGAAUGAAGCUUUGGCUAACCAAUGUCCCAUUGCACCUUUGGAUACGUCUCUGGGGGGAUAUUUGUUUUGAGUACCUUAAGUGGAGGGAUCGAAACUUCACGGACUGGAUUUCGGACAGAGUUGCAAAAAAGAAGGGACAGAUUGGUGAGACAAGGAAACAGAAGCAUUUCAAAAAUCUGGGCAUCCAGAGGCCAGCUGAUGGUUUGCAAAUCUUAAGCCUUAUAAUCAACUGA